UACGUAGGGGGCAAGCGUUGUCCGGAAUCACUGGGCGUAAAGGGCGCGUAGGCGGCUCAUGAAGGCUGUGGUGAAAGUCCGGGGCUCAACCUCGGAUCGGCCGUGGCGACUCGUGGGCUGGAGCACUGUAGAGGCGGGUGGAAUUCCGGGUGUAGCGGUGGAAUGCGUAGAGAUCCGGAAGAACACCAGUGGCGAAGGCGGCCCGCUGGGCAGUGGCUGACGCUGAAGCGCGACAGCGUGGGGAGCAAACAGG
RNAcentral lists this ribosomal RNA (253 nucleotides) under uncultured bacterium. RNAcentral describes it as "partial 16S ribosomal RNA". It matches the Rfam family "Bacterial small subunit ribosomal RNA", at positions 524 to 776 of the family's 1533-position model. The record is from RNAcentral.